CUAGAGUGUCUGAGGUGCACACUUGCGUAACAAAGCCACAGAGAAGCGGGACAAGAUUAUUACUGUAAAGGUCAGGGUUGUAGACAUGAGGGUACUUCUGGAGUGGCUGGCAAAGUACUACUUCUUCACCUGGAUGUGACCUUAUAUUAAGUCACUGUUCCAUAUAAUUUUUUUGUGUGCUUUUCUGUGCUUUAUUUUAUAAUAAGGAUAUAUUUAAGGGGAGUGUCCGGAGUGAACUGAAGCCAUGCAGGAGUGCCAUGCAGAUGUGGCCAGCUGGUCAGAAAGAAAGAUGAAGAGAGAACCGAGCACGCACCUAUAUUCCUGCAGCACUAAUGCUGACCAGUGGCCCAACGGAGAAGUGUUGCAAGCCAGACAAACCAGAGGACCACCAGUUCAUUCUCAAGGACACAAAGAACUGGUGAGGUGGGUGAAUGGUUCUUAAUUGGAAGUCAUCGGUGAGCUCUCAUCCACAGCUAUGAGGAAAAACAAGGGAAAAAAUGAGGCCAACACCAGCAAAGGGUAUAAACUGAAGGCUGUGUGGAGCACCAACUUUAUUAAAUACAGAUAUGGGAAUCGUCUAUUAAAAUGGUCUUUAAAAGUGUGUCUUUUGCAGUGCUAAGAUUAUUUGAUUGAUCUGUCGAGCCAUCAUUUUAUACACAUCUAUGGACGAUAUACUAGUGAAAACUGGGCUUUGGUUCUUUUCCAAAUGAAUAGCACUAUCUCCUGCUGUUAAGCUUUUCAUGAUUCUCGUAACCAUGGACUUUACAGAGGAAAAAAUAAACCUCUUUAAGUCUUGC
Molecule: long non-coding RNA, 797 nt
Filed under: Lynx canadensis (Canada lynx)
Lineage: Eukaryota; Metazoa; Chordata; Mammalia; Carnivora; Felidae
Description: lncRNA (ENSLCNG00005016146.1)
Source: RNAcentral